CUUAAACAAUGUCUACACUGUAUUUCUGAUCAAUUUGAUGUUAUUUUAAUGGACAAAAUGUUUUUCCUUUUCUUUCAAAAACAAGGACAUUUCUAAGUGUCCCCAAACUGUUGAACAGUAGUGUAACUAAACCAAAAUGGAACAUGCAGAAAAUACAUUUCUGAAGCAACAAAAUGAUACCUUGUUCACCCCCCCUCAAUAACCCAUAACGAAAAAGCCAAAACUGGUUUAGACAUUAAUUUAUUCAAAAUAAAAAACAGAAAUAACACAAUUACAUUAAGUAUUCAGACCCUUUUCUCAGUACUUUAUUGAAGCACCUUUGGCAGUGAUUACAGCCUCGAGUCUUCUUGGGUAUGACGCUACAAGCUUGGCACAUCUGUAUUUGGGGAGUUUCUCCCAUUCUUCGCUGCAGGUCCUUUCAAGCUCUGUCAGGUUGGAUGGGGAGUGUCGCUGCACAGCUAUUUUCAGGUCUCUCCAGAGAUGUUAGAUCGGAUUCAAGUCCGGGCUCUGACUGGGCCACUCAAGGACAUUCAGAGACUUGUCCGAAGGCCACUCCUGUGUUGUCUUGGUUGUGUGCUUAGGGUCGUUGUCCUGUUGGAAGGUGAACCUUCACCCCAGUCUGCGGUUCUGAGCGCUCUGGAACAGCUAGUACAGCCCCUAGUACCUUAGGUAGUACAGUAUAGCCUCAGCUAGUCCAGCCCCUAGUCCAGCAGGUAGUACAGUAUAGCCUCAGCUAGUCCAGCAGGUAGUCCAGUAUAGCCUCAGCUAGUCCAGCAGGUAGUCCAGCAGGUAGUACAGUAUAGCCUCAGCUAGUCCAGCAGGUAGUACUGUAUAGCCUCAGCUAGUCAGCCCCUAGUCCAGUAUAGCCUCAGCUAGUCAGCCCCUAGUCCAGCAGGUAGUUGGUUUUGAGAGAGAGCCUUGACAGAAUGAUAACCACGCCACAGAACUGUAUACAUUUAUCAAUGAUACAUGUUCCAACUCGGGUCCCUUGACACAGAGGCAAGUACGCUAACCCCAAGAUAGACAACUCUAGAGCUUCUCCCUAACCCUUAACCCUAACCGCUUAACCCUAACCCCAAGAUAGACAACUCUAGAGCUUCUCCCUAACCCUUAACCCUAACCCCAAGAUAGACAACUCUAGAGCUAACCCUAAACCUUAACCCUAACCCCAAGAUAGACAACUCUAGAGCUUCUCCCUAACCCUAACCCUUAACCCUAACCCUUAACCCUAACCCCAAGAUAGACAACUCUAGAGCUACUCCCUAACCCUUAACCCCUAACCCCUAACCCUUAACCCUAACCCCAAGAUAGACAACUCUAGAGCUAACCCUAACCCUUAACCCUAACCCCUAACCCUAACCCCUAACCCCAAGAUAGACAACUCUAGAGCUAACCCUAACCCUUAACCCCCCUAACCCCUAACCCUAACCCCUAACCCCAAGAUAGACAACUCUAGAGCUUCUGAAAGGUUGUUCUAGUGUGGAUAUGAAUGGAGGCUAUGGUCAUAACAGAGAACAGAAAAACAUGGAUGUCUGAGAGUAGUUGUUCUGCUGGUCAGGGAAGGCAAUAGAUUGUAUAGUUAUCUUCUGAUCAGGGUAAAAUCACUACCCCACAACAAUACAAUCUACUACCUCACAACGCCUCAGCAGAUAGACAAUGACUUCAUAAUGUUGACGAUGUACCUUGAUGAUUUCUUCCUGUUCGUUCUCAAAACACCACAGCAAAUACGAUCAGAAUAGAAUCUUUUACAAUGACCAUAAGAGGAGAUUGACUGUAGUAUCCUUGGUGAUUGACACAUUGAGAAAGACAGUAGGUUGUACAGUUAUCUCCCAGUGUGGGUGUGACCCUAAAACUAUCCAACCUACUACCUCAUCCCACUGAGCUGAGGAACCUGGAGAGGAACCUGGAGAGGAACCUGGAGAGGAACCUGGAGAGGAACCUGGUCUGAUCCACCUCACAGCAUCUGUUGAGAGAGAGACUGGAUAGUAAUACUGCCACUUUUAGGAUCA
RNAcentral lists this long non-coding RNA (2009 nucleotides) under Salmo salar (Atlantic salmon). RNAcentral's name for it is "lncRNA (ENSSSAG00000116651.1)". The record is from RNAcentral. Lineage: Eukaryota; Metazoa; Chordata; Actinopteri; Salmoniformes; Salmonidae.